This 75-nucleotide transfer RNA is filed under the name Marmota monax (woodchuck). RNAcentral's name for it is "tRNA.Ala". The record is from RNAcentral. Lineage: Eukaryota; Metazoa; Chordata; Mammalia; Rodentia; Sciuridae.
GGGGUUGUGGCUCAGUGGUAGAGUGCUCACCUAGCAUGUACAGGGAGGGCCUUGGGUUCGAUCCUCAGCACCACA